AGUGAACAGUGGCAUAUGCACAUCGGCAAAUGUUCAUUAUUAUUAUACAAGUAGCAAUUCAAAAUUUAACAGUGGUACUAGCGAAGCUUCAAACCACUUUGGUAAAGGCAUCAAGGUCUUGUUAACACUGAUAUGCAUUUGACACAAAGCUCUGUUAAGCUUGUCAGACAGCUGUCAAUAGUUGAAACAUAGGCUACGAAUUUAAUUACUUCCUGCACUCGACCUCUUUCUGUUCUGACCGCUGGCACGAUCAGUUGUGCUUUAUUUAGCUGCAAUAAAUUUUGUUUAAAUUAUUAUAAGUGAAACACGUGUAUAUUUUCGUGUGCAAAUCGUGCUAUUGAGAAGCCAUCCUCAAGGAGGCUUUAUUAAAACCUUGUAAGAUCACCAUUUCACAGCGUUUAUCUGUUCCAUUUUGGAUUAUUUUUUUUGCUUCAAAGAAUAUUGGUGUAUGGCGACAUGAGCUAUUGUCUUGGUCGGCUCAUCCACAAUUAAACGUUGGAUUCAUCCCGUCAGAUAAUCAGGCGAAGCUGGAAUUUGAAUGCAAAAAUUAGCGACAAGGCAGAAUUUCAAUAGGCAGCAAACGUAGCAGCAGCAGCGGCGGAGAGAACUCGACUUUUACAAAGACUCCAGUGCCCUCCAAAAAACCAGGAGAAAGAGCCACAUAUACUCGUAUAUGUGUACUAACGUUAACGAAUUUGGUUUCUUUAAAAUUCAGGCAGAAAUAUCAAUAUUACGAAUUUUUGCAUGCUUAACCUAAAAGCAGAGACCCUGUGCUUACAAAUUGCAUGUACAGCGCAAGUACAAAGUCCAACUUUAUUGGCAUAAUUUUAUCUAAGCAUCAGCUAUUAAUAGCAAUUGUUUAAAGUAACUGUAUUUUGGUUUGUGCAAAAGCAAAAGUUUUUCUUUAUCAAAAGUUCAAAUGUAAGAGAGCCUCUUACAUAGGCAUAUAAGUAAUUCAUACAUACAUAUAUAUUAGAGCAGGCAUUUGCAACUCAAUAAGUGCUGAGUUUGGAAAUAUUAAUAUAUUAAUUUUUUUUUUUUUUUUUUUUUAUUGGAGAUCGAAAGUGUUGAAAUAGUACUGCUUGUAUAAAUUAAUUUUGAUCCCAUACUAACAUACACAGCAACAUCUGGAAACUAUGGAGGCCUUCAUCGGAUUUUUCAGAGGUUCAUGCAACUAUCAUAUAAAUUUCUCUCUCUCUCUUCCGCACCAUGAACAAUUCAAAGGAUUCGAGCAGAAUCAAGGCGGAGCGUACGACCGGUAUAGCCUAAUCUUAUGGGGCCUACGAAGAACUGCGAUACUGCUCGCAUUGAUAGAGUGGCCCCAGGCAAUCAUAUUAGAAGAAGCAGUUCAAGCUUUGAAGCCAAAUAAAAUAAAAGCUCACACAGAAAUAAAUGGUCUGUCCUUAACAGAAACUAAUAUAUGAAAACAUGCGGCAAUUAUACAUGAAAACAAGUGGAGAAGCUAAAGUCGAGUUUCCCGACUUUAAAUCACUUUGUAAAUAUAUGUUGAAAAAUUAAGAAGUGUCAUGCUGAUUAAUAAUAUAUACGCCUUCUUCUGUCUUUUACAUUUUUCACGUCCCUCAAACUUAAUAUACUCUUGUACAUAUCAUAUAUUUAGAUCUGGUUACUUCUGAUUACUGAAGCUGAAGAAUAAGAGACAAGAAAAAGCACACACUAGGUGAGCCUGACUUUCCGUAAUUACCAGGGUUUUGAUUCUAUUCGUUACAUAGUCUUUGGUAAUGUUUGUAUUGUCACUAAGUUAGAGGUAAAUUAUGGAGGACUUCAAAUAUGUAACAAGAAAGGAAUGCUAAGGUCGAGUAGGCUCAACUCUUAAAUACUCCACCAAAAA
Long non-coding RNA from Scaptodrosophila lebanonensis, 1849 nucleotides. RefSeq lists it as uncharacterized. The record is from RefSeq and is a predicted model, not a curated record. The transcript has 4 exons. NCBI's taxonomy places the organism in Eukaryota, Metazoa, Arthropoda, Insecta, Diptera, Drosophilidae.